Cerioporus squamosus is the source of this 84-nucleotide non-coding RNA. The record is from the annotation of a GenBank genome assembly. NCBI's taxonomy places the organism in Eukaryota, Fungi, Basidiomycota, Agaricomycetes, Polyporales, Polyporaceae.
UCUCUGUUAGUAUAUCGGUUAGUACACGCGCCUGUCAUGGUCUGCUGACCGCGCGAAAGCGGGGUUCGACUCCCCGACAGAGAG